UCACUCUGGUUUCCCUUCAAUACACGCAUAAAUCUUUCGCCUUUUACUAAAGAUUUCCGUGGAGGGGAACAAUUGAUGAGUCUUUAACUAAUUUUUUGUGAUCCCGGCGCAAGCUGGGGC
Chelonus insularis is the source of this 120-nucleotide small nuclear RNA. RefSeq annotates it as U5 spliceosomal RNA. The record is from RefSeq and is a predicted model, not a curated record. The transcript has a single exon. Lineage: Eukaryota; Metazoa; Arthropoda; Insecta; Hymenoptera; Braconidae.